This 849-nucleotide long non-coding RNA is filed under the name Bos indicus x Bos taurus (hybrid cattle). RNAcentral describes it as "lncRNA (ENSBIXG00005016612.1)". The record is from RNAcentral. Lineage: Eukaryota; Metazoa; Chordata; Mammalia; Artiodactyla; Bovidae.
AAUUUCUAUAAGCAUCAAGAGUAAGAAAACUAUAAUUUCCAUGCAGAAUAUUUAAAGAUUCUGCUCAGACUUGGCAUGUUCCUUUGUACUCACAUUCCAUUGGCCAAAUAUGCCGGGCACAAAGAAGUGUUCACUAGAAGUCAGAAGAAUUCUAUAAACCUGAAGACUAAUCUUUUAGAAAAAUCAUCAGAAGGAGGGAAUUUGUGGAAAUAAAACUGGAAACAUUCAGAAUCUUGAUGGUGUGCCAAACCAAAUGUCAACUGGAGCUCGGCCAAAAACUCAAGUGAGUAGCUUUCUUACAGAAUAUUCUGGGUGUAGUGCAGUGCCCCACUCAUGCAGUGAAGAGAGUGCCAUACUUGAACAUUCUCUGUUACUUUUUGUGUUUUAAGUUAAACAUAAAGGUUGACUUUCUUUUUAUUGUAACAUGAUUUGUAAUGAAAAACAUAUAUAGUUAAUAUUUAUAAAAUUGCAAAAAAAUGCAUUCUGUGAUUUUAAGAUAAAAUCGGUAGUCCAUUGUGAUAUGUAGAGUUAUAGCAGGGGAUUGUAUACACUUCAAUUAAUUUCUUAAUUAUUAAUGAAAAUUCCUGAUGCAGUUGAAGAUUUCCUUGAAUUACUAUUAUAAAGCUUUUCCCUAAUAAGAUAGUACACGUCUCUAUGAUAAGCAUUCCAGCAAAGAGGCAUCAGAUUGGGGAAUACAUCUGUAAAACAUCACUUAUGAACACUAAGUUCACUUUAUUUAAAUAAUUGUCUUUGCUCUACCAAGCUAAAUAAUUCCCAGGAAUUUGUUUUUGCUGUUGUGUUUGGUAUAUUUUUAAUAAAUAAAAAAUUGACUAGCCUUUUUUAUAAAUA